UAGAGUCUUGUAGAGGGGGGGUAGAAUUCCCAGGUGUAGCGGUGAACAUGCGUAGAGAUCUGGAGGAAUACCCGGUGGCGAAGGCGGCCCCCCUGGACAAAGACUGACGCUCAGGUGCGAAAGCGUGGGGAGCAAAACAGGAUUAGAUACCCCUGGUAGUCCACGCCGUAAACGAUGUCGACUUGGAGGUUGUGCCCUUGAGGCGUGGCUUCCGGAGCUAAACGCGUUAAGUCGACCGCCUGGGGAGUACGGCCGCAAGGUUAAAACUCAAAUGAAUUGACGGGGGCCCGCACAAGCGGUGGAGCAUGUGGUUUAAUUCGAUGCAACGCGAAGAACCUUACCUACUCUUGACAUCCAGAGAACUUUGCAGAGAUGGAUUGGUGCCUUCGGGAACUCUGAGACAGGUGCUGCAUGGCUGUCGUCAGCUCGUGUUGUGAAAUGUUGGGUUAAGUCCCGCAACGAGCGCAACCCUUAUCCUUUGUUGCCAGCGGUUAGGCCGGGAACUCAAAGGAGACUGCCAGUGAUAAACUGGAGGAAGGUGGGGAUGACGUCAAGUCAUCAUGGCCCUUACGAGUAGGGCUACACACGUGCUACAAUGGCGCAUACAAAGAGAAGCGACCUCGCGAGAGCAAGCGGACCUCAUAAAGUGCGUCGUAGUCCGGAUUGGAGUCUGCAACUCGACUCCAUGAAGUCGGAAUCGCUAGUAAUAGUGGAUCAGAAUGCCACGGUGAAUACGUUCCCGGCCCUUGUUCACACCGCCCGUCACACCAUGGGAGUGGGUUGCAAAUUUAUUGUAGGUAGCUUAAACCCUCCGGAGG
Molecule: ribosomal RNA, 818 nt
Filed under: Enterobacter sp. UT36
Lineage: Bacteria; Pseudomonadati; Pseudomonadota; Gammaproteobacteria; Enterobacterales; Enterobacteriaceae
Description: bacterial SSU rRNA
Rfam family: Bacterial small subunit ribosomal RNA
Source: RNAcentral